Molecule: transfer RNA, 87 nt
Filed under: Candidatus Babelota bacterium
Lineage: Bacteria
Description: tRNA-Leu
Rfam family: tRNA
About the family: Transfer RNA (tRNA) molecules are approximately 80 nucleotides in length. Their secondary structure includes four short double-helical elements and three loops (D, anti-codon, and T loops).
Source: RNAcentral
GCAAGGGUGGCGAAAUUGGUAGACGCACUGGCCUUAGGAGCCAGCGCUAGUGAUAGCGUGGGGGUUCGAGUCCCUUCCCUUGCACCA